GGAGGGGUCGCAUAGCGGUUUAUUGCACCGGUCUUGAAAACCGGAGUGUCCUUUACGGAUACCGUGGGUUCGAAUCCCACCCCCUCCGCCA
This 91-nucleotide transfer RNA is filed under the name candidate division Kazan bacterium. Its description in RNAcentral is "tRNA-Ser". It matches the Rfam family "tRNA". From Rfam's summary of the family: Transfer RNA (tRNA) molecules are approximately 80 nucleotides in length. Their secondary structure includes four short double-helical elements and three loops (D, anti-codon, and T loops). The record is from RNAcentral. RNAcentral also lists the same sequence under 1 other name.